Unclassified non-coding RNA from Dipodomys ordii (Ord's kangaroo rat), 323 nucleotides. Its record names the gene 7SK. It matches the Rfam family "7SK RNA". Rfam says of the family: 7SK was discovered as an abundant small nuclear RNA in the mid-70s but a possible function has only recently been suggested. Two independent studies have found that 7SK RNA binds the CDK9/cyclin T complex (known as elongation factor P-TEFb). P-TEFb activates transcription by phosphorylating the C-terminal domain of RNA polymerase II. NCBI's taxonomy places the organism in Eukaryota, Metazoa, Chordata, Mammalia, Rodentia, Heteromyidae. The record is from Ensembl.
GGAUGUGAGGGUGAUCUGGCUGAGUCAUCUGUCACCCCAUUGAUCGCCAGGGGCUGAUUCGGCUGAUCUGGCUGGCUAGGCCAGUAUGCCCUUCCUCCCUCACCGCUCCAUGUGUGUCCCUCCCAAAGCUGUGCAAUCAGUCAAGGAAGACGACCAUCCCUGAUAGAGGAGGACCGGUCUUUGGUCAAGGGUAUACGAGUAUCUGCGCUCCCCUGCUAGACCCUCCAAACAAGCUCCCAAGAAAAAGUUCAGGUCACAGAGGUUAUAUGGGUCACAGAAAUUCUGCAGCUCAUAUGCAGAUCAUAGAGGCUGUGCAGGUUAUG